AUUGAACGCUGGCGGCAUGCUUUACACAUGCAAGUCGAACGGCAGCGCGGGCUUCGGCCUGGCGGCGAGUGGCGAACGGGUGAGUAAUACAUCGGAACGUGCCCAGUAGUGGGGGAUAGCUCGGCGAAAGCCGGAUUAAUACCGCAUACGACCUGAGGGUGAAAGCGGGGGAUCUUCGGACCUCGCGCUAUUGGAGCGGCCGAUGGCAGAUUAGCUAGUUGGUGGGGUAAAGGCCUACCAAGUCGACGAUCUGUAGCUGGUCUGAGAGGACGACCAGCCACACUGGGACUGAGACACGGCCCAGACUCCUACGGGAGGCAGCAGUGGGGAAUUUUGGACAAUGGGCGAAAGCCUGAUCCAGCAAUGCCGCGUGUGUGAUGAAGGCCUUCGGGUUGUAAAGCACUUUUGGCGGGAACGAAAAGGACUGUGCCAAUACCACGGUUCGAUGACGGUACCCGCAGAAUAAGCACCGGCUAACUACGUG
Molecule: ribosomal RNA, 484 nt
Filed under: uncultured bacterium
Lineage: Bacteria
Description: partial 16S ribosomal RNA
Rfam family: Bacterial small subunit ribosomal RNA
Source: RNAcentral